CCAGACUCCUACGGGAGGCAGCAGUGAGGAAUAUUGGUCAAUGGUCGGGAGACUGAACCAGCCAAGCCGCGUGAGGGAUGAAGGUACAGAGUAUCGUAAACCUCUUUUGUCAGGGAACAAAGGCGGGGACGUGUCCCCGGAUGAGUGUACCUGAAGAAAAAGCAUCGGCUAACUCCGUGCCAGCAGCCGCGGUAAUACGGAGGAUGCGAGCGUUAUCCGGAUUUACUGGGUGUAAAGGGAGCGUAGACGGCGAAGAAAGUCUGAAGUGAAAGCCCGCGGCUCAACCGCGGAAUGGCUUUGGAAACUUUUUUGCUGGAGUACCGGAGAGGUAAGCGGAAUUCCUAGUGUAGCGGUGAAAUGCGUAGAUAUUAGGAGGAACACCAGUGGCGAAGGCGGCUUACUGGACGGUAACUGACGUUGAGGCUCGAAAGCGUGGGGAGCAAACAGGAUUAGAUACCCCGGUA
This 464-nucleotide ribosomal RNA is filed under the name uncultured bacterium. RNAcentral describes it as "bacterial SSU rRNA". It matches the Rfam family "Bacterial small subunit ribosomal RNA", at positions 331 to 792 of the family's 1533-position model. The record is from RNAcentral.